GGAAAGUUAGUCUAAUCAAAGACAGUUGAUUUCGACUCAACAGAUUAUAGUUAACACUCUAUAACUUUCCU
RNAcentral lists this transfer RNA (71 nucleotides) under Cinclosoma clarum. RNAcentral describes it as "tRNA-Arg". It matches the Rfam family "tRNA". Rfam says of the family: Transfer RNA (tRNA) molecules are approximately 80 nucleotides in length. Their secondary structure includes four short double-helical elements and three loops (D, anti-codon, and T loops). Further hydrogen bonds mediate the characteristic L-shaped molecular structure. tRNAs have two regions of fundamental functional importance: the anti-codon, which is responsible for specific mRNA codon recognition, and the 3' end, to which the tRNAs corresponding amino acid is attached (by aminoacyl-tRNA synthetases). tRNAs cope with the degeneracy of the genetic code in two manners: having more than one tRNA (with a specific anti-codon) for a particular amino acid; and 'wobble' base-pairing, i.e. permitting non-standard base-pairing at the 3rd anti-codon position. Lineage: Eukaryota; Metazoa; Chordata; Aves; Passeriformes; Cinclosomatidae. The record is from RNAcentral.